This 1087-nucleotide ribosomal RNA is filed under the name Escherichia coli. Its description in RNAcentral is "partial 23S ribosomal RNA". It matches the Rfam family "Bacterial large subunit ribosomal RNA", at positions 59 to 1187 of the family's 2925-position model. The record is from RNAcentral. Lineage: Bacteria; Pseudomonadati; Pseudomonadota; Gammaproteobacteria; Enterobacterales; Enterobacteriaceae.
UGCUAAUCUGCGAUAAGCGUCGGUAAGGUGAUAUGAACCGUUAUAACCGGCGAUUUCCGAAUGGGGAAACCCAGUGUGUUUCGACACACUAUCAUUAACUGAAUCCAUAGGUUAAUGAGGCGAACCGGGGGAACUGAAACAUCUAAGUACCCCGAGGAAAAGAAAUCAACCGAGAUUCCCCCAGUAGCGGCGAGCGAACGGGGAGCAGCCCAGAGCCUGAAUCAGUGUGUGUGUUAGUGGAAGCGUCUGGAAAGGCGUGCGAUACAGGGUGACAGCCCCGUACACAAAAAUGCACAUGCUGUGAGCUCGAUGAGUAGGGCGGGACACGUGGUAUCCUGUCUGAAUAUGGGGGGACCAUCCUCCAAGGCUAAAUACUCCUGACUGACCGAUAGUGAACCAGUACCGUGAGGGAAAGGCGAAAAGAACCCCGGCGAGGGGAGUGAAAAAGAACCUGAAACCGUGUACGUACAAGCAGUGGGAGCACGCUUAGGCGUGUGACUGCGUACCUUUUGUAUAAUGGGUCAGCGACUUAUAUUCUGUAGCAAGGUUAACCGAAUAGGGGAGCCGAAGGGAAACCGAGUCUUAACUGGGCGUUAAGUUGCAGGGUAUAGACCCGAAACCCGGUGAUCUAGCCAUGGGCAGGUUGAAGGUUGGGUAACACUAACUGGAGGACCGAACCGACUAAUGUUGAAAAAUUAGCGGAUGACUUGUGGCUGGGGGUGAAAGGCCAAUCAAACCGGGAGAUAGCUGGUUCUCCCCGAAAGCUAUUUAGGUAGCGCCUCGUGAAUUCAUCUCCGGGGGUAGAGCACUGUUUCGGCAAGGGGGUCAUCCCGACUUACCAACCCGAUGCAAACUGCGAAUACCGGAGAAUGUUAUCACGGGAGACACACGGCGGGUGCUAACGUCCGUCGUGAAGAGGGAAACAACCCAGACCGCCAGCUAAGGUCCCAAAGUCAUGGUUAAGUGGGAAACGAUGUGGGAAGGCCCAGACAGCCAGGAUGUUGGCUUAGAAGCAGCCAUCAUUUAAAGAAAGCGUAAUAGCUCACUGGUCGAGUCGGCCUGCGCGGAAGAUGUAACGGGGCUAAAC